RNAcentral lists this ribosomal RNA (507 nucleotides) under Fusarium solani. Its description in RNAcentral is "eukaryotic LSU rRNA". The stretch from base 132 to 285 matches the Rfam family "5.8S ribosomal RNA". The record is from RNAcentral. Lineage: Eukaryota; Fungi; Ascomycota; Sordariomycetes; Hypocreales; Nectriaceae.
UCACCCUGUGACAUACCUAAAACGUUGCUUCGGCGGGAACAGACGGCCCCGUGAAACGGGCCGCCCCCGCCAGAGGACCCCCUAACUCUGUUGCUAUAUGUAUCUUCUGAGUAAACAAGCAAAUAAAUUAAAACUUUCAACAACGGAUCUCUUGGCUCUGGCAUCGAUGAAGAACGCAGCGAAAUGCGAUAAGUAAUGUGAAUUGCAGAAUUCAGUGAAUCAUCGAAUCUUUGAACGCACAUUGCGCCCGCCAGUAUUCUGGCGGGCAUGCCUGUUCGAGCGUCAUUACAACCCUCAGGCCCCCGGGCCUGGCGUUGGGGAUCGGCGAGGCGCCCCCCUGCGGGCACGCGCCGUCCCCCAAAUACAGUGGCGGUCCCGCCGCAGCUUCCAUUGCGUAGUAGCUAACACCUCGCAACUGGAGAGCGGCGCGGCCAUGCCGUAAAACACCCAACUUCUGAAUGUUGACCUCGAAUCAGGUAGGAAUACCCGCUGAACUUAAGCAUAUCA